RNAcentral lists this small nucleolar RNA (106 nucleotides) under Uncinocarpus reesii 1704. RNAcentral describes it as "A. fumigatus snoRNA Afu_514". It matches the Rfam family "A. fumigatus snoRNA Afu_514". The record is from Rfam by way of RNAcentral. Lineage: Eukaryota; Fungi; Ascomycota; Eurotiomycetes; Onygenales; Onygenaceae.
UUUAAUGAUGCGGUAAUUUGCGGUUGAACCACCAUUGUGAAGCCCCCGCCUGGGUUUCGUAUGCAAUGGCUGGAUAAUGAUAGCUACUUUCUUACAUAUUCUGACU